Non-coding RNA from Macaca mulatta (Rhesus monkey), 1279 nucleotides. Lineage: Eukaryota; Metazoa; Chordata; Mammalia; Primates; Cercopithecidae. The record is from RefSeq and is a predicted model, not a curated record.
GGUUGUUCUGUUAUGUCUUGUCCUGCCACUUGUGUGAGUCUGUCUUUUUCCAACUCCUGAGGCAAUAGCAGGUCUUUUCCCACCGGUCACCCCAGCACUCCUUUGGGUAAAGUAUUUAAGAGCUAAAUUUGUUGGCCUGUUUGGGUCUAUUGGGGACUGAAGGUAUAUCCACAUUAAGAGAAAGUUACUCAGUAACUAUUUCAACCACUUCUUCACAGAGAAAAACAUCUGUGCCUUUUUAAAUUUUUAUUGGCCUGCUUGACAGCUCCACAACACAGUGAAGAAGGAGCCCCACCUACCACAAGGUUCUUCAUCCUGCUGGGGAAGCCACACAGAGUUGAGACCAAAACGUAUGGAAGGAAGGAAGUGUUAUUUGGGAGGACAGCAAGAAGAGGAUAGCUGGCAAGAUUACAUCCUACCACAUAGGCCAGUCUGGAGAUGAAAAGGACCCUAAGAAAUGAAUUGUACAAAGAUUAACAAACGCGAACCCUUUGCUGGAGUUUACAUUGUAAUACAGACCCUUCAUGAUGUGGCCAGGCAUGUCAAGGCCAUACAGACAAGAGAAGACAAACAUUCAGCCUAGAUAUGGAGAGGCAGCUGAAUAUUUACAUUACCCAACAGAGCAAAGAUCACUAUAUCCAACUUUCUAUUCAACAUCUAGACUUGAAUGUCCCAUGGGUACCAACAUGCCUGAAGCUGAACUCAUCCUCAUUCUUUGAUCUCAGAAGAUAUCACCAUCAUCAACCCAGCUGCCCAAGUGAAAAUUCUGGGAGUCAACCUCUAUUCCUUCUUUCUCCCACUUCACAUUCAGUCAGUCAUCAAGUCCUGCCAAUUAAUUCUCCUAAAAAUUUUUAAAAUCCAUUCACUUCUCUCCAUCCUCAUUGCAAAUGCCAUUCUUACUUCAGGCCCCCAAGUUCAGACCAACUUACUGAACUCCCUGCCUCUAAUCUUGCCACCCUCUCUCAUCUCCAAUUCAAUUGGUCACAUUGCAAAAGAAUGCCAUUGAUUUUUUUCCACACAGAUCUGAUCUUAUCACCUUUGUUUAAAACACUUCAAAGGCCUUCAAGAAAAAAAUUAAACUCUUUAACAUGGUUUUCAAGGCCCUUCAUAAUCAGAUCUUGCUUUGACAGUUCUGUGUAAUGAUUAGACUUGAGCAAGACUGGCUGGGUUCAAAUCUCAGCUUUAACGCUUUUAGUAGCUGUGUAUCUUUGAGCAAGUUAACCUCCCUGUACUUGAGUUUUCUGAUCUAUAAAAUGAAGUAAUUACAAUGCCUACCUUC